ACCUUAGCCUUAGAAGGGGGCUUUUUCAGAAAUCAGAUUUUUCAUAAGCCAAUAUUCCUUUCUCUCUCUAGAAGCCCUUUUCCCUAAAUUCUCUAUGCCUUCUCUCUAGAUUUUCAACUAAUUGAACUGUUCAAUCUUGGAUUUGAAGGUGCUCAAGCGUUCACCACACCGAAGGCUUCCUUUUGAUCUAAUUAUAUUUUCGAUUGGAUCGGUACUGUAAAUUCCUGUGCUGCAUAAAGUUGUUGUGANAGCGUCUCUUGUGAACUGUACUGUGAGAAACCAAGAAGAGAAUGAGGUGUCUGUGGAGAAUGUCGUGGAGGAGAAUGAAGACGUCGCUGCCUAGACUCUUUAGGAAUUUCUGGGCUGUUAUGCCCCUAUGAACAUUUCUAAAUUAUGCUAUUUUGAGACACUUUCCAAUUUAUCUAGUUUGAAUUAGUUUAGCAUUUCACGCUUUUAAUUCCCCCUUAAUUCCUGUAUGACUGUAAUCCUGAUCUUUAUACUACUCUACUCUUGACUGCUUUCAAAUAUUAUCUAUGAUGACGUCUUAAAUUAUAUACAUGUAUACUAUAUAAUUGGGAUGUCACA
Vigna radiata var. radiata (mung bean) is the source of this 585-nucleotide long non-coding RNA. RefSeq lists it as uncharacterized. The record is from RefSeq and is a predicted model, not a curated record. NCBI's taxonomy places the organism in Eukaryota, Viridiplantae, Streptophyta, Magnoliopsida, Fabales, Fabaceae. The transcript is spliced from 3 exons.